This 159-nucleotide small RNA is filed under the name uncultured Stackebrandtia sp. RNAcentral's name for it is "ydaO/yuaA leader". It matches the Rfam family "c-di-AMP riboswitch aptamer (ydaO/yuaA leader)", at positions 11 to 119 of the family's 134-position model. Rfam says of the family: This family represents a conserved RNA structure found upstream of the ydaO and yuaA genes in Bacillus subtilis and related genes in other bacteria. The ydaO/yuaA element is thought to act as a genetic "off" switch for the ydaO and yuaA genes in its native state. Lineage: Bacteria; Bacillati; Actinomycetota; Actinomycetes; Glycomycetales; Glycomycetaceae. The record is from RNAcentral.
ACCCGCCGAACCACAAACCGUGGACCGGGGACCCAGGAUCCCGGGGUGAAUCCAUCCCACCAAUAUGGGGGAUGGUAGGGCGCAUCUUCGCAGCUAACAGCAAUGAUGCGAAGCUUCUUCCCGCCCGAACCCGUCAGCUAACCCGGUAGGCGGCUCGGA